GGGAAUGUGGCUUAGUGGUAGAGUGCUUGCCUAGCAUGCAUGAGGCUCUGGGUUCAAUUCCUCAGUACCA
Molecule: transfer RNA, 70 nt
Filed under: Dipodomys ordii (Ord's kangaroo rat)
Lineage: Eukaryota; Metazoa; Chordata; Mammalia; Rodentia; Heteromyidae
Rfam family: tRNA
About the family: Transfer RNA (tRNA) molecules are approximately 80 nucleotides in length. Their secondary structure includes four short double-helical elements and three loops (D, anti-codon, and T loops).
Source: Rfam by way of RNAcentral